This 305-nucleotide ribosomal RNA is filed under the name uncultured bacterium. Its description in RNAcentral is "bacterial SSU rRNA". It matches the Rfam family "Bacterial small subunit ribosomal RNA", at positions 335 to 657 of the family's 1533-position model. The record is from RNAcentral.
CUUCCUACGGGGCGCAGCAGUGGGGAAUAUUGCACAAUGGGGGAAACCCUGAUGCAGCGACGCCGCGUGAGCGAAGAAGUAUUUCGGUAUGUAAAGCUCUAUCAGCAGGGAAGAAAAUGACGGUACCUGACUAAGAAGCCCCGGCUAAAUACGUGCCAGCAGCCGCGGUAAUACGUAUGGGGCAAGCGUUAUCCGGAUUUACUGGGUGUAAAGGGAGCGCAGGCGGCUUGGCAAGUCUGAUGUGAAAGGCUGGGGCUCAACCCCAGGACUGCAUUGGAAACUGUCUGGCUAGAGUGCAGGAGAGG